This is a long non-coding RNA of Beta vulgaris subsp. vulgaris (sugar beet), 707 nucleotides long. RefSeq lists it as uncharacterized. The transcript has 3 exons. The record is from RefSeq and is a predicted model, not a curated record. Lineage: Eukaryota; Viridiplantae; Streptophyta; Magnoliopsida; Caryophyllales; Amaranthaceae.
UAACCCAUUUUUGAUAAUUCAAUUCCAUCAAUUUACAUUUGGGGAAAUUGAAACUCAACUAUGGCUAUAAAUAGCCAUGUUCAUCUCCUCAAACCAUUCACUCAAACCACUUGAGUCUUCGCCGGAACCCACUAAACCUCGCCGGAAAAAGCCACCCAAAACUUCCCCAAAGCUUCUGUUUUUUUUUUACUUGCUCCUCUGUUUCGGGUCAGCCACCGCAGCCCCACCGCGGCGCCGCCGCAUUCCUGCGCCUUUUGUGCGCCACCACCACACCUAACCACCGUCUCCUUCUCUCUCCUCUCGCACGUACCUUCUUUCUCUUUCUUCUCUCUCGCGCCCCAUCUUCUCUCUCGUGUUUCGCUCUCUCUCCUCGUGCGCCGGCGGAGCCACGCCAGAACCGCCGGAAUCCCGCGCCCCAGCCACGCUGCCGUGCCGUUGCUGCCGGAGCUUCAGUCCACCGCCCCACCUCUCUUCCUCCCCUGUUUUCGUGACUGCUCAGUUGAGCAGGAGAUUAAACGGAAAGGAUAUUACAGCCUCCCCCGGCUCUCAAGUUAUUACGCAGGAACCGAGGUACUGAUGAAGAUGACGGGAUGGCGUAGAAGUGAGGAUGGCCAACUACUUUACAUUAUGAAAACUAUAUUGGUUAUGUAAUCUAAAUCUAUGAUCACUAGAACAUGAACUUAGUUUAACUAUAACUACGUAAUCAU